AGAAGCGCAAGAAUGCUGCUUUAGAGUUGGAAGGGAUUGUUAAGCAUUUGACAUCUGCGGGUGACCAUGACAAGAUCACUGCUGUUAUCAGUUUGUUGUCUCAGGAGUAUACUUACUCACCUCAGGCUCAUAACCGGAAAGGAGGAUUGAUAGGACUGGCUGCAGUAACUGUUGGUUUGACUUCAGAUGCAGCACAACACCUUAAGCAAAUUGUCCCGCCAGUCUUACACUCUUUUUCGCACCAAGACAGCAGAGUUCG
Molecule: unclassified non-coding RNA, 259 nt
Filed under: Hevea brasiliensis (rubber tree)
Lineage: Eukaryota; Viridiplantae; Streptophyta; Magnoliopsida; Malpighiales; Euphorbiaceae
Source: RNAcentral